This 340-nucleotide long non-coding RNA is filed under the name Phoenix dactylifera (date palm). RNAcentral describes it as "long non-coding RNA (PDAC_LNC014807)". The record is from RNAcentral. Lineage: Eukaryota; Viridiplantae; Streptophyta; Magnoliopsida; Arecales; Arecaceae.
UUAACAUUGGAUUUGAGCCUAAUGUCCGGCAGCCCGAGCUCAAGUCAAGCCAGCAUCUCCACGUGAUGGAGCUCAGCCCCACGAUGCAACCGGACCUCUUCCAUCAUCAACGGUGUUCAGCCUUCAAUUCCAACAUGCUCCCAGAAUUUUCUAGCGUCCGAGUCGCAUCAAAAUCCUAGCUUUCUUCCCCAUCGCGUGAGCCUAAGCAUUCAAGUCCAGUCGGUCCAUGCGAUCACGGGAGACCCUAGCCCAUUCCAAGCUUCACGUGUGAAGCCAUCAACAGCGUGCCAGCAACGCCCACGUCCGCUCCUCCUGGAAUCCCUGCAUCGCGUCCCCCUCU